Molecule: transfer RNA, 66 nt
Filed under: Myrmica scabrinodis
Lineage: Eukaryota; Metazoa; Arthropoda; Insecta; Hymenoptera; Formicidae
Also listed under: 1 other name
Description: transfer RNA-Ile
Source: RNAcentral
AAUGAUAUGCCUGAAAAAAGGGUUAUUUUGAUAGAAUAAAUUAUGUAAAUUACUUUACUAUCGUUU